This 1577-nucleotide long non-coding RNA is filed under the name Homo sapiens (human). Its description in RNAcentral is "PREDICTED lncRNA (TCONS_00243414)". Lineage: Eukaryota; Metazoa; Chordata; Mammalia; Primates; Hominidae. The record is from RNAcentral.
CUAAGUGUUUUGAGGUUGCAAACUGACUUCUGGGUUUUGAGAACUAUUUGACUUUCUGGCUUCACAACUGGCCAUCAAACUACAGUCAGUCAUGCAACAGGAGCCUCUGAUGACGACCCUUUCUGCUGGGAACCCUUAAAUAGGCCUCUGAGGGAGCUCUGACUGCGGCUUCCCCCAAAACAGCGCCCCCUGUCAGCAGGAGGCAAUAAUGGAGCUAUUUUUUUCUUUCGUUGUCCAAGUGGAAGAUGUUAAAAAAGAAACCCUCAAUGUACAGCAAAACUGCAUUUCCCAAGCUCCUCUUCUCUCAAUGGGUCACAUGACUUGUUCUAGCCAAUAGAACGAGGGUGGAAGUAAUGUGACCACUUUCAGGUGUCCCCUAAAGUCUCCUGUGAGAUCUUCCAAUCUUGCUCUCCUCACUCUGCAUGGCUGGAAAUGAAUACUCUGAUAUCUGAAACAACAUGAUGAAGGAGCCAGGAUGCCUAAGUUCACCACUUAGAGAAGAGACAGCUUGAAGAGUCAUUCUGGAGAACUGGCUGACCAAACUCAUUGGAUUGUAACAGAAUAUAAACCUUUUAUUCUGAUAUGCCAGAGGCACAUUAUGGAUUGUAUUACAAUGACUAGCAUUAGCUGUCCUGAUUAAUAGACACUGUGACAAGAUUCUUUAUUGCUAAAAGAAAAAAAAAGCAAUGGCUGAUACCUGAUUAACAGACACUGUGACAAGAUUUUUUAUUGCUAAAAGAAAAAAAAAAAGCAAUGGCUGAUACCAUUUAAAAUAAAACUUACAAUUAAGGCAAUUCAGUUUGAAAUGUGUUUAUGAAGUUAUUUCAUAGCACUAAUUACAGUUCUAACAAUAUGUAUUUCUGUAGGUGUAUUUUCAAUUCUCUACUAAGUAGUAAGCUCUGUGAGACUGGAAGUUGUACAUGUUUUGUUCUUCACUGCAGAGGUCAUACUCCUCAGAGUACAGGACCCAUGGUGGGAAAUAUUAGCUUCAUGAAUGAGUGAAUGAAUGACUACACACAAGGUUUGAUAAUUAGCAUCCAGAAUAACAAAGAUAUAUACAAUGAAUUAAUGAUUCAUAGUGAGGCUUAGUCAAGUAUACAAAAAGAACAAGAUGAAAUGCAACAUAAUUGUGAUAUUGUGAAGUGUAUACUUGGUCUUCACCCCUGUUUACUGUCAUACACACAAUUCCUAAGAUGCUUGGAAUCUCCAAAGUGUUGUCUUUUUGUAUGCUAAUGUUCACUGAUAGCUUCAGGAUGGAGGUGGUCACCAGAAGGACAAAGGCAUGAUUAUAGGGUUGGAACUUCUGGGCCCACCUCCCCAACUUCCAGGGAGAAGAGCGGGGCUGAAAGACAGACUGAUCAGCAAUGGCCUGUGGUUUGAUCAUAAUGAAGCCUCCAUAAAAACCCAAGUUGACAGAGUUUGGCAAGCUUUUAGAUAGCUGAACACAUGGAGGCUCCCAGAGGAUGGCAUGCCCAGUGAGGGCAUGGAAGCUUCACACCCCUUUCUUCAUACCUUACCAUACACAUCUCUUCAUCUAUAUUCUUUGUAAUAUCUUUUAUAAUAAACCAGUAAAUGUA